AGAUUUUUCUUUGUAGCAAUACAGAGGAACGUCUAGUGGCGAACGGGUGCGUAACACGUGGGCAAUCUGCCUUAAAGUGGGGGAUAGCUCGGCGAAAGCCGGAUUAAUACCGCAUGUGAUGAGGGGAGACAUCUUCCCAAAAUCAAAGUCGGGGCAACCUGACGCUUUUUGAGGAGCCCGCGGCCUAUCAGCUAGUUGGUGAGGUGACGGCUCACCAAGGCUAUGACGGGUAGCUGGUCUGAGAGGACGACCAGUCACACUGGAACUGAGACACGGUCCAGACACCUACGGGUGGCAGCAGUCGAGAAUUUUUCUCAAUGGGGGAAACCCUGAAGGAGCGACGCCGCGUGGAGGAUGAAGGUCUUCGGGUUGUAAACUCCUGUCAUUUGGGAACAAUGCUGACGUAUUAACUGUACGUUAGUUGAUAGUACCAGAAGAGGAAGAGACGGCUAACUCUGUGCCAGCAGCCGCGGUAAUACAGAGGUCUCAAGCGUUGUUCGGAUUCAUUGGGCGUAAAGGGUGUGUAGGUGGCGCGCUAAGUCGGGUGUGAAAUUUCGGAGCUUAACUCCGAAACUGCAUUCGAUACUGGCGUGCUUGAGGACUGGAGAGGAGACUGGAAUUCAUGGUGUAGCAGUGAAAUGCGUAGAGAUCAUGAGGAAGACUAGUGGCGAAGGCGGGUCUCUGGACAGUUCCUGACACUGAGACACGAAGGCCAGGGGAGCAAACGGGAUUAGAUACCCUCGGUAGUCCUGGCAGUAAACGGUGCACGUUUGGUGUGGGA
Molecule: ribosomal RNA, 781 nt
Filed under: uncultured Verrucomicrobiota bacterium
Lineage: Bacteria; Pseudomonadati; Verrucomicrobiota
Description: bacterial SSU rRNA
Rfam family: Bacterial small subunit ribosomal RNA
Source: RNAcentral